AGCUUUUCUUUGCCUUUUGGCUUAGAUCAAGUGUAGUAGUAGGGAUUCCCUUCUUCGGUCUAGCGUACUUCUGGCUAAUAUUUUCCAGUCUGUUCUUUUCAGUUUAAUCUCUGAAACGCGUCUACGGACGCAUUUUCAAGAUUAUUCCUAUUUUUGAACCCAGUCCCCCUCUCACUGGGCUUGCUCAUAGUUGGGGACACAGUGACGCUGGCCCGUGCACUACUGCCGGCUGUCGCGACCACUA
This 244-nucleotide small nuclear RNA is filed under the name Clohesyomyces aquaticus. RNAcentral's name for it is "U2 spliceosomal RNA". It matches the Rfam family "U2 spliceosomal RNA". From Rfam's summary of the family: U2 is a small nuclear RNA (snRNA) component of the spliceosome (involved in pre-mRNA splicing). Lineage: Eukaryota; Fungi; Ascomycota; Dothideomycetes; Pleosporales; Lindgomycetaceae. The record is from Rfam by way of RNAcentral.